This 68-nucleotide transfer RNA is filed under the name Bolitoglossa n. sp. RLM-2004. RNAcentral describes it as "tRNA-Asp". Lineage: Eukaryota; Metazoa; Chordata; Amphibia; Caudata; Plethodontidae. The record is from RNAcentral.
AAGAUGUUAGUAAAAAUAUUAUAAGGCCUUGUCAAGACCUAGUCGUUAACUAACCUAGCACAUCUUAU